Vigna umbellata (rice bean) is the source of this 671-nucleotide non-coding RNA. The record is from RefSeq and is a predicted model, not a curated record. Lineage: Eukaryota; Viridiplantae; Streptophyta; Magnoliopsida; Fabales; Fabaceae.
UUCUGCCUUACAUCUCACUCGAUGCUGCUGAUGAAGGUUGCCGUUGAAGGCUGCCGUCGAGGUUAACGCUGUUGAAGGUUCGCUGCCGUCGAAGGUUCGUCAUCGUCGAAGGUUCGUCGCCGUCGAAGGUUCGCCGCCGUCGAAGGUUCGUCGGAGGCUCACCCCUGUCGAAGGUUUUGCCGCACUCUACCGUCGACGAACUGUCGAAGGUUCUUCUACAUACCUUUUCGGAGUUCCUUUCCACUCUCUGGGUAAAAGAGUGGAUUGCUCAACCUCCCUGUUCCCCCUCCAUGUGGAACUCUCUACAAUUUCUGUGUCCCCUCGUUCUACUUCGAAGAGUAUAUCCUCUGCACAGGCUAAAAGAUUCACAAAAUUCAGGGAAAGGAAAGGGCUUAUUGAGAAAGAUGUGGUGAGAACUGAUAGAUCGAUCCUUUCAAAUAUUCUACGAGAUAUACUGUUGACCUAUUCAUUUUAUAACUUUGAUCUUGGUUAUUGCCAGCAAUGAUGAGGUUAAUUGGAGGAAGGACUUUUUGUGGUGAAUGUGUGAGAAAUGUGAUGCCAAGGUUUUCCCCUUCAUCUUGGAUUCACAUCACAACCCUGCUUCAAUAUGGGGAUGCUGUUAGCCAAUAUCAGCAUUGAGGAGUUUUGUAUAAUUAUAUAUAAAUUAAAUA